RNAcentral lists this transfer RNA (62 nucleotides) under Cerophytidae sp. BMNH 900085. RNAcentral describes it as "tRNA-Thr". The record is from RNAcentral. Lineage: Eukaryota; Metazoa; Arthropoda; Insecta; Coleoptera; Cerophytidae.
GUUUUAAUAAUUUAAUAAAAAUAUUGAUUUUGUAAAUCAAAUUUAAAGAAAUUUUUAAAAUA